RNAcentral lists this ribosomal RNA (754 nucleotides) under uncultured methanogenic archaeon. Its description in RNAcentral is "bacterial SSU rRNA". It matches the Rfam family "Archaeal small subunit ribosomal RNA", at positions 88 to 848 of the family's 1478-position model. The record is from RNAcentral. Lineage: Archaea; Methanobacteriati; Methanobacteriota.
GCUCAGUAACACGUGGACAACCUGCCCUAAGGUGAGGGAUAACCCCGGGAAACUGGGGAUAAUACCUCAUAAUCUACAGAUGCUGGAAUGCCCUGUAGGUAAAAGGUCAGCCGCCUUAGGAUGGGUCUGCGGCCGAUUAGGUAGUUGUUGGGGUAAUGGCCCAACAAGCCUGUAAUCGGUACGGGUUGUGGGAGCAAGAGCCCGGAGAUGGAUUCUGAGACAAGAAUCCAGGCCCUACGGGGCGCAGCAGGCGCGGAAACUUUACAAUGCAGGAAACUGUGAUAAGGGAACCCCGAGUGCCCGUAUGGACGGGCUGUUCAGGUGCGUAAAAAACACCUGGAGAAAGGGCCGGGCAAGACCGGUGCCAGCCGCCGCGGUAAUACCGGCGGCUCGAGUGGUGGCCACUAUUACUGGGCUUAAAGCGUCCGUAGCUGGGUAGUUAAGUCUCUUGGGAAAUCUUCCGGCUCAACCGGAAGGCGUCUAAGGGAUACUGGCUACCUAGGGAUCGGGAGAGGUGAGAGGUACUCUGGGGGUAGGAGUGAAAUCCUGUAAUCCUUAGGGGACCACCUGUGGCGAAGGCGUCUCACCAGAACGACUCCGACAGUGAGGGACGAAAGCUGGGGGAGCAAACCGGAUUAGAUACCCGGGUAGUCCCAGCUGUAAACUAUGCGUGUUAGGUGUAUCGGUGACCACGAGUUACCGAGGUGCCGAAGGAAACCGUGAAACGUGCCGCCUGGGAAGUACGGUCGCAAGG